GAUGAACGCUGGCGGCGUGCCUAAUACAUGCAAGUCGCGCGAACAGACGAGGAGCUUGCUCCUCUGACGUUAGCGGCGGACGGGUGAGUAACACGUGGAUAACCUACCUAUAAGACUGGGAUAACUUCGGGAAACCGGAGCUAAUACCGGAUAAUAUAUUGAACCGCAUGGUUCAAUAGUGAAAGACGGUUUUGCUGUCACUUAUAGAUGGAUCCGCGCCGCAUUAGCUAGUUGGUAAGGUAACGGCUUACCAAGGCAACGAUGCGUAGCCGACCUGAGAGGGUGAUCGGCCACACUGGAACUGAGACACGGUCCAGACUCCUACGGGAGGCAGCAGUAGGGAAUCUUCCGCAAUGGGCGAAAGCCUGACGGAGCAACGCCGCGUGAAUGAUGAAGGUCUUCGGAUCGUAAAACUCUGUUAUUAGGGAAGAACAAAUGUGUAAGUAACUAUGCACGUCUUGACGGUACCUAAUCAGAAAGCCACGGCUAACUACGUG
RNAcentral lists this ribosomal RNA (497 nucleotides) under uncultured bacterium. Its description in RNAcentral is "partial 16S ribosomal RNA". It matches the Rfam family "Bacterial small subunit ribosomal RNA", at positions 28 to 507 of the family's 1533-position model. The record is from RNAcentral.